AAACGCUGUAGCUCGCUCCACCUGCUGCUGCCGCUGCCGCCGCCGCCGCCGCCGCCUUUGCCACUGCGAGAACUGUAGCGGUGCGACCCGGGAUUCCCUCCUCUCGGCGCCCCACCCUCGACUCCUGUUCCGCUGAGCGCGCCCUCCCCGGCGGGCGGAGACUGCAGCGCCGGGGGCUGAGGAAAGGUGGGUGGCGAAGCGCCGCCGGGCGCUUGGUGGCCGCUGCCGCCGCCACUGCAGCUGUGCACGCCCGCCUCUCGGAGGAAACUUGAAGCCAGCAGUACAACCAUCCGACCUUGGGACUAGGGAAACGUGGACUUGGUGGGCUAUUCUGCGCUGAAGAGGCAGCAACGAGGGCUCGGUGGUAUUGGUGUUGGUCCUAGUGGAAUUGUCAAGAGGAUGCUUUUGAAGUGGCCCAGCAUCUUGGAAGUUCACCAUGCUUGCUUUGCAAGAGAUUCCUGACGCUGCAGUGAAAGAGGUCCAGUCAUUCCAGAGAGAACUUCAGUUUCAGACAAGUCAUCAAAUCCAGAAAGCAAGGAAAAAUACCCUGAAAGACGACUGGCAAAUCUCGGUGAAAGAGUAGACGCACUUCAUGGAUUGGAGUGAAUCUUAGAGCACCUGGUACCUUGCACAGGACCUGAUGCCUGGAGGUACAGCAGCCAUCUUGUGACCAUAAGGAGGAAAUCAACGCAUUAAGAAGGGAAAAGCUAAGAAGAUACAGAGAGCAGGGACCACUGACAACAUGAUCAAGCCACUCUACCAGGCCUUAACUUCCUAUUCCCUGACUUCUUAUUGAAAGAGACAAUAAAACUUCUCAUUUGUUUUAACCCAUAGAAGUAAGGCAUUCUGUUACUUAUGGGUGAACACAAUUCUUAACUGAUGCCAUGGUUUAAUGGGAGUAGGGAUCCUGGUAUGACAGGAAAUUGAG
RNAcentral lists this long non-coding RNA (928 nucleotides) under Homo sapiens (human). Its description in RNAcentral is "non-protein coding lnc-WDR26-1:10". Lineage: Eukaryota; Metazoa; Chordata; Mammalia; Primates; Hominidae. The record is from RNAcentral.